CCGAUGGAUUAGGUGCUGCUGG
RNAcentral lists this microRNA (22 nucleotides) under Human gammaherpesvirus 8. RNAcentral describes it as "miR-K6". Lineage: Duplodnaviria; Heunggongvirae; Peploviricota; Herviviricetes; Herpesvirales; Orthoherpesviridae. The record is from RNAcentral.